RNAcentral lists this ribosomal RNA (459 nucleotides) under uncultured bacterium. RNAcentral describes it as "partial 16S ribosomal RNA". It matches the Rfam family "Bacterial small subunit ribosomal RNA", at positions 31 to 507 of the family's 1533-position model. The record is from RNAcentral.
GAACGCUGGCGGCGUGCUUAACACAUGCAAGUCGAACGGAAAGGCCCUUCGGGGUACUCGAGUGGCGAACGGGCGAGUAACACGUGGGUGAUCUGCCCUGCACUUUGGGAUAAGCCUGGGAAACUGGGUCUAAUACCGAAUAGGACCACGCGCUUCAUGGUGUGUGGUGGAAAGCUUUUGCGGUGUGGGAUGGGCCCGCGGCCUAUCAGCUUGUUGGUGGGGUAAUGGCCUACCAAGGCGACGACGGGUAGCCGGCCUGAGAGGGUGACCGGCCACACUGGGACUGAGAUACGGCCCAGACUCCUACGGGAGGCAGCAGUGGGGAAUAUUGCACAAUGGGCGCAAGCCUGAUGCAGCGACGCCGCGUGAGGGAUGACGGCCUUCGGGUUGUAAACCUCUUUCAAUAGGGACGAAGCGCAAGUGACGGUACCUAUAGAAGAAGCACCGGCCAACUACGUG